GGGGGGAAGCCAGAUCCUGGGCUGUGUCCCCGGCGCCCUGUGCUCCCGGGCUUGCGCUGUUGGAUUCGUGCUCCAGCCGGGAAACCCCCC
RNAcentral lists this microRNA precursor (90 nucleotides) under Canis lupus familiaris (dog). RNAcentral describes it as "mir-8799 microRNA precursor family". It matches the Rfam family "mir-8799 microRNA precursor family". The record is from Rfam by way of RNAcentral. Lineage: Eukaryota; Metazoa; Chordata; Mammalia; Carnivora; Canidae.